Non-coding RNA from Gracilariopsis chorda, 74 nucleotides. Lineage: Eukaryota; Rhodophyta; Florideophyceae; Gracilariales; Gracilariaceae. The record is from the annotation of a GenBank genome assembly.
GGCUCUGUGGCCAAAUUGGAUAAGGCAUCGGUCUACGGAUCCGGAGAUUGCAGGUUCAAGUCCUGCCAGAGUCG